GAGACCCGCUGAGCAGCGGCACUUCGUUGCUGGCAGCGUCCUCGUAAACAACGCCAGACGCCUAACACCAAGCCGACGCCAGCUAGCCCCUCCGACACAGGUGUGCGGGUGCUGCACAGCAGCAUGUGGGUUGGCGCCGAGUGCGUCGCCCAAGGCGUCCUCAGUGCUGGCGAGGCGUCAACUGAGGCGUCAUCAGGCGAAGAAGACGAUCCAGGUGGCAGUACCAGCGCCAUGGUGGAAACAGCAGCGGAUUGUGAGCGGCUGGACCAGAACCUCUACGGAAAGAAAAGCCCAUAAACAGUACUGCGAGAAUAUAUUGGGUGCCGUUUCGGCCUCUCUGGAAUGCUUACUAAUUAAAAUAUUUGUUCUUGUACGUUACAUGUUUAAAUGCGGACAGUAGAUUUAUGAAAUUUGUUUAGAAACGGGAGAAAUUUGAGCAAUCGUGUCACUGUACUCUGAAGAACGUGUUUUGACAACUGCAUCAAAACGAAUUCUGUCACUAUGAUUUUUGUGUCAGUUAAAUGACAGCACAGUGUGAAUAACACCCUUGUACACCGAUCAUUUGUAUUAUCCACACAUCUCACUAGUGCUCAUUAUAUGCAACACGCAGGAAUCAUACAUCCAUACGUGUAACAAGAAACCUCUUCACCAUAAUUAAUUUAGAACAUACAGAAUUCUGCAAAUGUUAAUUUUUCGUGCCUUAUAUAAGUGUUUGCAUGUUUGACGUACCCUAUUCUCUGUUUAUGUUCAUAUUUUUUUCGCCAGACAACCCACCAUGAAACAGGUAUAUCCAAAAAAUUAGUACGAAACUUGGGGUUCUUUGCCCCAAGUCAGAAAUUUCGAAUUACACCAAGAAAUUCUCGCGUCUGUGCUUAUAUAUUGUAAGAA
This is a long non-coding RNA of Schistocerca nitens (vagrant locust), 888 nucleotides long. RefSeq lists it as uncharacterized. The transcript is spliced from 4 exons. Lineage: Eukaryota; Metazoa; Arthropoda; Insecta; Orthoptera; Acrididae. The record is from RefSeq and is a predicted model, not a curated record.